GGAAUUUAUGAAAGAUUGUUUUCUGCUGUUGAAUUUCCAGCAAACAACACUCUAUCCGAAAGUCAUACUACCUUGACCUUUUCCCUCACCACCUAGUUCCUUCCAACUAUGGAAGCCGUCUAAACUAGAUUUCACUGCCACCGAGAGCUCCCCUGCCACCACAUUCUUCCACUAAACUUCAUUCUCUGCUGCUAUCAAACUCUACAAAAAACAUUCGUUGCUUGUUUUCUCUUCCACCGACUGGAUCGAGGUCAUCAAUUGGUAAUCAGAGCUUGGUUGCUGCAUUAUAUUCCAGCUCCGUGAGCGAUCUCGCUGUCCAGAUAAGUUCUCGUUUCAUGUCCGAGUUGUCAAAUAUUGUUUGACAUGUCUGUGUUCAGUUCACUGUUCCAUUGCUUCUCUUAAAUUCCAUAGGUUCCUUUGAGUCACUUGUUUGAUCCAGCUUUGAUUUGAUUUGGUCUUAGCAUUUUAAUCGGUUCAUUUCAUAGAUUUGAGUUUUUUUAUUUUUUUUUAAAUCCUACUGCUGUUUGUCUAAGUCAUGUUCAUUGUUGUUUCCAUUAUGUCCAAUUUCCAAGUUCAACCGUGUGUGGAUAAAUCUGCAUAGUUGAUUGGAGUAAUUCAAUAGAAGCUUAGUGCAUCUUAAAUCUCCUCAACAAAGCAGUACCAGAGGUUGACAAAGUAUAAUUGUUUCAUAUUUGAAUUUUGGUUUGCAUCAGGUGGAAAAGUGUUAUCCGUACAAUCAAUUGUGUUUUAUGCUAUUCUGUUUUAAUCUCAUGAUUGAUUGUUUGUGAGUGUUGGAUAUGAUGCAAUAAGAGGAAAAUGCAUUCCACAAAAUAUGAUUAAGAUAUUAUAGUGGAGAGCAUUACUCUGCAGAUUCCAAAUCUAUUACACAGCAGCUUGAACCGUGUUGCAUACAUCUUUGCAGAGAGUCUUUGUAAUUUUUUUUAAUCGGUCCAGCUGUAGUAUCCUUGUCUGGACUUCUUCAUAAUUCUAUAGAGUUUGUGUUCAACUUAGCUUGCUGUUUGGAUUCAUCAAAUUGUGUUUCAUAAUUGUUUGAAGCAUUAGGAUGAAUUUCCAUGUGGUAUGAAUCAUUUUUGGUUGAAUUAAGCAACCUGUGUGGUGAGAAUUUGCAAUAGUCGUGUGCAGUCACUGCCAUCCACUUCAAUCUGAUAUAUUUGGCAAACCAGACUUGCUCCAAGUGCCAAAUCACUGAUCCAAACACUUUUGAAUCUUAUGCUGAAAUUUGAUUAAUGCAUUGGUUAUGAUUUAGCGUGAAAUGGCAACUGAUAUAGGCAAUUUUUUAUUCAAGCAUGAAUUGUCUCACUUGACAAUUGAUAUAUGUCAUUUAUGCUCAAUUAAAGUUGCUGAAAGCUCUAAAUCAGAAAGAUAUACCUAUCUGCUAAAUAUAACCAAUCUGAUUUCAUUAUUCAGCAUUAUUUUGUUUUAAUAAGUUGCAGCGUUUUUAUGACAGUAUUGUUGUGAAGUGUGCAUCCAUAUUGUAUGAUCAUUGGUAGCAAAAUGCUUGGUUCAAGUAAUUAAAGAAAAAGAAUGAAAGCAUAAAUCAAAAUACGUAUAUGCUGCAUUGUAAAAGCAAGAGGAACCGUGCCAAUUGACAUAAGUCUGAAACUGGAUGCAUAGUUUUCAGCAGUUCAUUUAGGCAUUUCUCCAAACACUUUUGCUUAAAUUCCUUUUGAGUUGAAUUAAAUGUUUCUGCAACUUAUCUUUGUUUCUUGCUUUUCAAAUCUACUCUAGAACCUUUCCUAAGUUCCUUUUGAGUGCCACCUAUCAUUGAACACCAAUUAAUUGCUUGAUUUUUGCUUGUUUGGACUUCUGCACACCAACUGUUUCUUAUAUUUCCAGUGAUGUGUUCUGUUUUGUUAUCAUUGCAGCAGCAAAAGUCCCAAUUUCUGCACUCAAACUUGAUGAAUGUGGAUUGGUGUGAGUUCAUUUGUGGUUACAACAUUGUUGUAGACGGCUUGACAUAAUUAGUAGCACUUUAGGAAGAGGAUUGGUGAAGGAAAAGAUCACUUGGAAGGAUGCAAUUCGGCACAGCAGUACACUCGUAAGCUGCAAAUUCUGGUGUGGAAUUUCCAUGUGACAGCAGCUUCCUUACUUUGCAGCUGUAACCUUUCAGUGGAAAUUGUGUAGACUUUCAACACGGCACAAGAGAAAAACAGCCGCAACAGCAAAUCUUCCAAUCAAGUUCAUUCUGCAGCAUAUGCAUUUGGCAGCAAAACCACAACCCCUUGAAAAGCUUUGUUUAUUUCAAGCUGCAGCAGGGGAAAAUUGGAUCGAUCCUCCACAUCCAUUACAGUAAAGCCGAGAGAAAGAAUUGGUGCAGUUGAGUUUUUAAGCAGCAGCAAGGCACCAAAACUAAGAACAGAAAGUUGAACCAAAAAGCUAGAAGACUCCAAAAAAAAAAAAGUAUCCAGAAGUUGUCCAACACUUGGAUUUGAACAAAAUCAGAACAUGGUAGCAGCAAUUCUUAGCUUUCUUUUGUAAUUGUAGUGUUCAUUGUUGACUUGUAAUAGGUUUUCCUUUGUUAGAUUUCUUUAAAUUGUAAAAGGCCAUUGCAAGUCCAAGUGGU
This is a long non-coding RNA of Vigna radiata var. radiata (mung bean), 2584 nucleotides long. RefSeq lists it as uncharacterized. NCBI's taxonomy places the organism in Eukaryota, Viridiplantae, Streptophyta, Magnoliopsida, Fabales, Fabaceae. The transcript is spliced from 2 exons. The record is from RefSeq and is a predicted model, not a curated record.